RNAcentral lists this ribosomal RNA (450 nucleotides) under uncultured bacterium. RNAcentral's name for it is "partial 16S ribosomal RNA". It matches the Rfam family "Bacterial small subunit ribosomal RNA", at positions 354 to 796 of the family's 1533-position model. The record is from RNAcentral.
GUGGGGAAUCUUCCGCAAUGGACGAAAGUCUGACGGAGCAACGCCGCGUGAACGAUGACGGCCUUCGGGUUGUAAAGUUCUGUUAUACGGGACGAAUGGUACGACGGUCAAUACCCGUCGUAAGUGACGGUACCGUAGGAGAAAGCCACGGCUAACUACGUGCCAGCAGCCGCGGUAAUACGUAGGUGGCAAGCGUUGUCCGGAAUUAUUGGGCGUAAAGGGCGCGCAGGCGGCGUCGUAAGUCGGUCUUAAAAGUGCGGGGCUUAACCCCGUGAGGGGACCGAAACUGCGAUGCUAGAGUAUCGGAGAGGAAAGCGGAAUUCCUAGUGUAGCGGUGAAAUGCGUAGAUAUUAGGAGGAACACCAGUGGCGAAAGCGGCUUUCUGGACGACAACUGACGCUGAGGCGCGAAAGCCAGGGGAGCAAACGGGAUUAGAAACCCUGGUAGUCC